This is a long non-coding RNA of Columba livia (rock pigeon), 672 nucleotides long. RefSeq lists it as uncharacterized. The record is from RefSeq and is a predicted model, not a curated record. NCBI's taxonomy places the organism in Eukaryota, Metazoa, Chordata, Aves, Columbiformes, Columbidae. The transcript is spliced from 3 exons.
ACUGUUUCUCAAGAACACUGACCACAUGCUGCACUUUCAGCUGAUCUCCCGUUUUCACUUUGUUAUAUAUCUGAAUGAGGGAUACAAAUACAAGUUUACAGCUGCAACCAAAAAGCUCCUUUGCUUACCAAAGUUCCAGAGGUGAUUGUGAGCUAAGAACAAAAGUUCCCCUGACAGCUUAAGAAUGCACCACCCAACAGCAAAUAAGAACCACAUUGGACGACAGUGUCAAACCGCAUCCCUUCUUUUCUGAUCCUAUUGCUAUUGAACAACAAGGGAUUGCUCUUUCAGAACAGAAAUCUCAGGGGACUUGUAAGAAGAUUCCAGGUAACUUUUACUACUAGACUAGGCAAACGUAAGUAUGUUUGACAUAAGUUUGUAGUUAACAUUCUCCUUAUUUUUCCUACUAAGUGAGACUGAAAUGUAUAACGAGAUCACCAUAGAUCUGCAUAGAUCUGCAUAGAUACAACAAAAGCUGUUGUUUGGCUUUGUUUUUAUUACCAUCCUAAACUUUGAUUUUGCACUAUAUCCAGAUUGCACUACCACGUGUAUUUUAAUGCUACCAAAUUCUGUACAAACGCCUGUACAAAGUUCCCAGGUGGCCGGAUGUUUUUCAGUGCUUUGCUAGGGCCAAGUACACAACAGAGCUGUUGAAACACUCUUCUGCAAACA